AUACGUAGGGUGCGAGCGUUGUCCGGAAUUACUGGGCGUAAAGAGCUCGUAGGUGGUUUGUCGCGUCGUCUGUGAAAUUCCGGGGCUUAACUCCGGGCGUGCAGGCGAUACGGGCAUAACUUGAGUACUGUAGGGGAGACUGGAAUUCCUGGUGUAGCGGUGAAAUGCGCAGAUAUCAGGAGGAACACCGGUGGCGAAGGGAGGUCCUAUGCACGUACCUGACUCUGGUGGUCGAAAGCUGUGGGAGCAAAAGUAAUUAUAUCCCCUGGUAGUCCACGCCGUAAACGGUGGCCGCUAGGUGUAGGGGUCUUCCACGACUUCUGUGCCUUAGCUAACGCAUUAAGCGCCCCGCCUGGGGAGUACGGCCGCAACGCUAACACUCAAAUAAAUUGGCGGGU
This 398-nucleotide ribosomal RNA is filed under the name uncultured bacterium. Its description in RNAcentral is "partial 16S ribosomal RNA". It matches the Rfam family "Bacterial small subunit ribosomal RNA", at positions 523 to 918 of the family's 1533-position model. The record is from RNAcentral.